RNAcentral lists this transfer RNA (71 nucleotides) under Loxodonta africana (African savanna elephant). It matches the Rfam family "tRNA". Rfam says of the family: Transfer RNA (tRNA) molecules are approximately 80 nucleotides in length. The record is from Rfam by way of RNAcentral. Lineage: Eukaryota; Metazoa; Chordata; Mammalia; Proboscidea; Elephantidae.
GCCAUGGUGGUUCAGUGGUAGGAUUCUCGCCUUCCAUGGGAGAGACCUGGGUUCAAUUCCCAGCCAAUGCA